AUUUAUCCCUUUAAUAAUCCUUCAGAAUAGAAUAGGAGCGCAGCGACCGAAGCAAAAGCACCUAACAAACUUUUCCGUUGGGUUUCAAUUUUCAAAAUGCGGUUAUUGAAUCCUCCAUCCCUUUCUAGAUUUCCACCUCAAAUCUGCUCUCCAUCGCAUCUGGUGCAGCGCUCAAUUCCGUUCUACAUUUAUCCAGAUUUGGUUGCUUUUCCCCACAAGGGAUUUACUAAUGGAAGCUUUCGGAUUGUGAAAGAGAAAAGUAUUUUUAGUCAAAAAGGCACUAUUCCUGGAAGGUUUUCGAAAAAACCUAACCCUGUGAUUAGUGCUGCUGCAAAUAGGGGAUCAGUUGAUGUGCCAUUUCCAACUGAUUAUACUCAACUUCUUCAGCAGGCUAGAGAAGCAACUCAAUCAGCACUCAAGGACAACAAGCAGCUAAUGGAAAUUGAAUUCCCCACUGCUGGUUUGGAAUCUGUUCCAGGGGAUGGUGAAGGUGGUAUAGAAAUGACGGGAAGCAUGCAAAUGCUUCGUGAAUUCUGUGAUCUUGCCAUAACCCAAGAAAAAGCUACAAAGACUAGAAUAUUUUUGCCGGAGGCCAAUGAAGUGGAGUUUGCGAGAAGAUCAGCUUUUGUGGGAUCUUCCUUGAAACUAGAUUACUUAACAAAGCCAUCAUUGUUCGAAGAUUUUGGUUUUGGAACCAAAGUUAAAAUGGCUGAAAGAGUGAAGCCUGGGGACGAAUUAUUCCUCGUUGGCUAUCCGUAUUUCAACGUCAACGAAAUGCUCGUGGUAGAAGAACUUUACAAAGAAGCCGUGGAAAAUACUUUGCGCAAACUGAUCAUUUUCAACGGGGAACUCGACAGAAUAAGAUCCGGAUAUUACCCUCCAUUUUUCUAUCCAAAAUUGGCUGCACUUUCUGAGACAUUUUUGCCUAAGAUCGAGACUAUAUAUUACAUACACAACUUCAAGGGGAGAAAUGCAGGAGUCCUCUUCAGGUGCUACCCGGGGGCGUGGAAAGUGCUGAGGAAAGUUAGAAGCAACGAAUAUGUACGUGUGCACGAGCAACAGACAAUGCCAUCCCUCAAGGAAGUUGCACUGGAAAUUCUUCCAUCUGCAUCCCCUAAAUAAAUUAUUCAGGCAGGAUGAAUAGUUUUGACUGAGAUGAGAUGGUGAAGAAGGGCGACAGUAAUGGGAGGAAUCGAGAAGGUGAUGGAGAACGAGGAGGUUCGUGGUCGACAGCCAUGGUUUCAGGCCUUUUUAUCGGCCUGCGUCGAAACAUGAAGUUUCACAGGCCUGUGGACCCUUAUGAAGAAUGAAAUGCAGCAUAUGAUUGAUUUUUCACACAAAUACAAAAUAUAUUUAUGUAUAUGUAUAUACAGAUAU
Molecule: RNA transcript, 1377 nt
Organism: Andrographis paniculata
Lineage: Eukaryota; Viridiplantae; Streptophyta; Magnoliopsida; Lamiales; Acanthaceae
Gene name: protein LPA3
Exons: 11
Source: RefSeq, a predicted model, not a curated record